Long non-coding RNA from Capra hircus (goat), 1643 nucleotides. The record is from Ensembl. Lineage: Eukaryota; Metazoa; Chordata; Mammalia; Artiodactyla; Bovidae.
GUCAUAAUAAGUAUGGAUUACCACUCUGGAGAAUUCAACUGAUGAAGAACAGUGGUUGGCAAUCUUCCCUUUGGUGUAUUUUUGGUAAAUUGCUGACUGAUGCAGAAGCUUCUCUGAAGAUGAAUGAGAUAGAGAAAAAGAAAAGACCAAAACAUUCCAGGUAUAUUGUAUACUGACACCUCUAGUUAUUGCUCGACUUCUGGUCCUGUGAUAGUCCCUUUGUGAGGGGUGAGAAUCAGAGGGAGGGAGGAUGAAGAUGGUGUGUGCGAUGAUUUAGAGUGCCUAGCUUCCCUAGUGGCUCAGACGGUAAAGAAUCUGCUUGCAAUGCAGGAGACAUGGGUCCAACCCUUGGGUCAGGAAGAUCCCCUAGAGAAGGAAAUGGCAACCCACUCCAGUAUUCUUGCCUGGAGAAUCCCACGAACAGAGGAACCUGGCAGGCUACAGUCCAUGGGGUCACAGAGAGUCAGACAUGACAUAGCAACUAAACAGCUACAACAACCUCCAAAGUAUCUAAAUUUAAGCCAGGAAGGCAGAAAUCACUGCGGCAAAGCAGGUGUGAACGUCCCCCCACUUCAGAGGCAGCGCUCUUUGAAGCUGGAAAAUCAAGGACACUGGUACCUUCAAGGAAACAAGGAUAUAAUUAUCACAACACCCAAUUGGCCAGUGGCCUUCCAUUCCUCAGGCCUGCCCUACUCCCUUCGCUGGCAUCCGCCCAGGUCCUCACAGACUGAGCUCUGUGUCCCAGAUCGCUCAGCUGGAGGAGCAGCCCACUCCCGCACCCUUUGAAAGUGUUCUUAAUCUCUUUCUACUGCGCUGCGCUUGCUGACAUAAAUCCACCAGCCCAGGGCGCCUCCGAGCCCCCCACAGAGGGAGGCCCUUCAGGCCAAGUGGAGUCUGAGCAGCAAAGGCUCAGAAUUUAUGCUUCCUCUCACCUGUGCGGUCUGUCUGCGGCCCCGACUCCAGGCGGUUUUUGAAGGUUUGAUUAGAACCUUCCAGCUCCUCGCCAAGCCUGCCAUCAUCACCUUAGUCACAGAAGCAGACUUCUCAAGGCCGUUGGAAGUGAAUAACAGGGACUGUCAGCUUCAUUAUUAUAUUUGAAAUGUUGAAAGCAGAAGCCUAAUAAAAUAAGUUCAGAAAAACAGAAAGAGCCAUAAAUUAUCAUUUGAAUGGAGUGGCUAAAGAACUCCUUUACUCAAAAUACCUGGGGGCUAUUUCUCAAUUAUAGCAAUAAUCCAGUAUUUGGUUUCCUUCCCUUCACGGUGCAAGAGCCUUCUCUUAGCGCUGAUUAUUUUCUGCUUUUGUGAUCAAGUGUCUAGAAUCAAGAGUUACACAACAAACACUCCCUAUCCAACUCCUUCACACACGCACACACAGAAACACUCAUACACUCAUACUCCCCACCCAGCCUUGGUCCUAAAAUGUUAAGUUGCUCAGUUGUGUCCAACUCUUUGCAAUCCCAUGGACUAUAGCCCACCAGUCUCCUCUGUCCAUGGAAUUCUCCAGGCAAGAAUACUGGAGUGAGCAGUCAUUCCCUUCUCCAGAGGCUCUUUCCGAACCAGGGAUUAAACCCAGGUUUCCUGCAUUGCAGGCAGAUUCUUUACCAUCUGAGCUGACAGGGUCCUUAGGGGUCUACUGAAGUGUAC